GGCGGCAUGCCUAACACAUGCAAGUCGAACGAGCUCUUCGGAGCUAGUGGCGCACGGGUGCGUAACGCGUGGGAACCUGCCCUUAGGUUCGGAAUAACUCAGAGAAAUUUGAGCUAAUACCGGAUAAUGUCUUCGGACCAAAGAUUUAUCGCCUUUGGAUGGGCCCGCGUAGGAUUAGCUAGUUGGUGAGGUAAAGGCUCACCAAGGCGACGAUCCUUAGCUGGUCUUAGAGGAUGAUCAGCCACACUGGGACUGAGACACGGCCCAGACUCCUACGGGAGGCAGCAGUGGGGAAUAUUGGACAAUGGGCGAAAGCCUGAUCCAGCAAUGCCGCGUGAGUGAUGAAGGCCUUAGGGUUGUAAAGCUCUUUUACCCGGGAUGAUAAUGACAGUACCGGGAGAAUAAGCCCCGGCUAACUCCGUGCCAGCAGCCGCGGUAAUACGGAGGGGGCUAGCGUUGUUCGGAAAUACUGGGCGUAAAGCGCACGUAGGCGGCUUUCCAAGUCAGGGGUGAAAUCCCGGGGCUCAACCCCGGAACUGCCCUUGAAACUGGAUCGCUAGAAUCCUGGAGAGGCGAGUGGAAUUCCGAGUGUAGAGGUGAAAUUCGUAGAUAUUCGGAAGAACACCAGUGGCGAAAGCGACUCGCUGGACAGGUAUUGACGCUGAGGUGCGAAAGCGUGGGGAGCAAAC
Molecule: ribosomal RNA, 689 nt
Filed under: uncultured bacterium
Lineage: Bacteria
Description: bacterial SSU rRNA
Rfam family: Bacterial small subunit ribosomal RNA
Source: RNAcentral